This 638-nucleotide ribosomal RNA is filed under the name uncultured bacterium. RNAcentral describes it as "bacterial SSU rRNA". It matches the Rfam family "Bacterial small subunit ribosomal RNA", at positions 851 to 1498 of the family's 1533-position model. The record is from RNAcentral.
GCGAAAGCGUUAAGCAUCCCACCUGGGGAGUACGCCGGCAACGGUGAAAUUCAAAGGAAUUGACGGGGGCCCGCACAAGCGGAGGAACAUGUGGUUUAAUUCGAUGAUACGCGAGGAACCUUACCCGGGCUUGAACUGCAGGAGAACGAUCCAGAGAUGGUGAGGUCCUUCGGGACUCCUGUGAAGGUGCUGCAUGGUUGUCGUCAGCUCGUGCCGUGAGGUGUCGGCUUAAGUGCCAUAACGAGCGCAACCCCUUUCCUCAGUUGCCAUCAGUUCGAGCUGGGCACUCUGGGGACACUGCCACCGCAAGGUGUGAGGAAGGUGGGGAUGACGUCAAAUCAGCACGGCCCUUACGUCCGGGGCUACACACGUGUUACAAUGGGGGGUACAGAGAGCCGGUGGCGCGCAAGCUCCAUCCAAUCCUUAAAGCCCUCCUCAGUUCGGACUGGGGUCUGCAACCCGACCCCACGAAGCUGGAUUCGCUAGUAAUCGCGCAUCAGCCAUGGCGCGGUGAAUACGUUCCCGGGCCUUGUACACACCGCCCGUCAAGCCAUGAAAGCCGGGGGUGCCUGAAGUCCGUGACCGGAAGGAUCGGCCUAGGGCAAAACUGGUGAUUGGGGCUAAGUCGUAACAAGGUA